UGUUUGAUGUUCUAACGUUGGCCCCUGAUCGGGGUUGCGGACAGUGUCUGGUGGGUAGUUUGACUGGGGCGGUCUCCUCCUAAAGAGUAACGGAGGAGCACGAAGGUUGGCUAAUCCUGGUCGGACAUCAGGAGGUUAGUGCAAUGGCAUAAGCCAGCUUGACUGCGAGCGUGACGGCGCGAGCAGGUGCGAAAGCAGGUCAUAGUGAUCCGGUGGUUCUGAAUGGAAGGGCCAUCGCUCAACGGAUAAAAGGUACUCCGGGGAUAACAGGCUGAUACCGCCCAAGAGUUCAUAUCGACGGCGGUGUUUGGCACCUCGAUGUCGGCUCAUCACAUCCUGGGGCUGAAGUAGGUCCCAAGGGUAUGGCUGUUCGCCAUUUAAAGUGGUACGCGAGCUGGGUUUAGAACGUCGUGAGACAGUUCGGUCCCUAUCUGCCGUGGGCGCUGGAGAACUGAGGGGGGCUGCUCCUAGUACGAGAGGACCGGAGUGGACGCAUCACUGGUGUUCGGGUUGUCAUGCCAAUGGCACUGCCCGGUAGCUAAAUGCGGAAGAGAUAAGUGCUGAAAGCAUCUAAGCACGAAACUUGCCCCGAGAUGAGUUCUCCCUGACUCCUUGAGAGUCCUGAAGGAACGUUGAAGACGACGACGUUGAUAGGCCGGGUGUGUAAGCGCAGCGAUGCGUUGAGCUAACCGGUACUAAUGAACCGUGAGGCUUAACCUUACAACGCCGAAG
RNAcentral lists this ribosomal RNA (732 nucleotides) under Escherichia coli. Its description in RNAcentral is "partial 23S ribosomal RNA". It matches the Rfam family "Bacterial large subunit ribosomal RNA", at positions 2211 to 2925 of the family's 2925-position model. The record is from RNAcentral. Lineage: Bacteria; Pseudomonadati; Pseudomonadota; Gammaproteobacteria; Enterobacterales; Enterobacteriaceae.